This 24394-nucleotide long non-coding RNA is filed under the name Populus tremula. RNAcentral's name for it is "long non-coding RNA (PTRE_LNC002695)". Lineage: Eukaryota; Viridiplantae; Streptophyta; Magnoliopsida; Malpighiales; Salicaceae. The record is from RNAcentral.
UGAAACUGCCGCUUCGGCGGUUGUUGUAGCUCUGCUGUAGCAAGGAGAAUUUCAUUUUUCGUGGCUCUCUUUCUCUCUCUAAAGUGGUAGAGUUUAGUUUAGAGAGAGAAAGGGGGGGAUUUGUGAGAUGAGAAGGAAAGGAGAGGUGUUUGUUGAGUUUGUUUGAAGCUUGCUUAGGUGUGCUUCUAUUUUUAUUUUAUUUUUUUUAGGAAGAAGACGAAGUAGAAGAGAGAUUUCUUUGAAUUGAAACUGAAGAAAGAAUUUGUUGGUUGGUUUUGAUUUUUUAUUAUUAUUACUAUUAUUAUUUUUUAUUAUUGUUGUUGCAGCUGUUGCUGUCUUGCUACCUAAAGACAGUGAGUGGACACCGAUGAGAAGGAAGGGGGAGCGGUCAUGAUUAGGGGAGUUGGAUUAGUUAAUUGUUUCGUUUAGGACAAUUAGUUAUUUUUUGGCUUAAUUUUUGGGAUCCAGUAAAUACUACUCCUAUCUGUUUACAUUUACUUAUUUCUUUUUUUAUUUUUUACUUACUUAAAUUGAAGCACUAACUGAUUAUUUUCACUAAAAAUAACUAUCAUUUUCUCCUAAGUAAAUUAAUUUCUUUUAAAAAUGGGAACACAAAGGCUAAUUGAGCUGAUUAUUCACCUUUGACUUCAAAGUUGUCACCAACAGAGGUCAAUUUACACGAUUGUGAGGGGUGGAGGGGGGGGAUUAAUUUCUUAACCAAUAAAAAAAUUAAACAUACGCUUUUUGAUAUAUUUAUUUAUGUAAAAUAUAUCAAAUAAAAAUUAAAACUUUUAUGCACACAUUUAAUUAAACAAAUCAAAAUCACCUACGCAAACAAAUAAAAAAAUAUUAUUAAUAAUAACUAAAUAUAUAUUUGGAAAAGUCAAGAAAUGGAUGUAAAUGAAUAUAUUUAAUAUCAUAAUACGGUCUAUUUACACGAUUGUGUUUAAUGACUCUGUUUAUUAAAAUUAUUUUUUAUUUAAUUACAUGAUGGUAAAAAUAAACACAUAUAAAAAUAAUUUAAUAAAAUCAAGGGAAAUCGAUAUCAUAAAACAGUCUAUUUACACGAUUAUGUUUAAUGACUCUGUUUAUUAAAAUUAUUGAAUAAAAUCAAAAGGGAAAAAUAUAUCACAAUAUUGCACUUAUUAGAAAUACUAUCAAAAAGUAAAUAUUUUUUUCAUUUUAAAAAUAAAUUUUAAUUAUAUAAAACAUAAAAAAUUAUAAAUGAAUUAGAAAAAUCUAUUAAAAAAUAAAAUACCUAUAAAAUACUUAAAAAAACAACCACUGUAUUUUUUUAAAAUACUAAAUACAGAAUAAAAAAAUCAUAGAGAAAAGAUAUUAAUUUAAAUAUAAAUUAAGAAAACAUUUAGAAAAAAACACAUGUAAAAAAGCAUGAUUUUUUUCAAAAAACCAAAAUUACCAAAAAAGAAGAAGACGAAGAAAGAGUUAAGACGCAUGACCUGUUUAAGAGGGAUCGUGCAUGGGCUUGCAAAGGUAGAUCUAAGUGUGGGCCUUUAAAAAAAAAUGUAAUUGGGGCGAACGAUAAUAAUGGUUUUUGAACAAAAAUAAGUGUAAUGCUUAAUUUAAUUCAGUUGAUCGUUAUGGUGAUUGGAAAAUAUUUUUUUAUCCUAAUUUUUACUCAAAAACACCUAGAAAACACACUAUAGAAAUCUUGAUAAAUCCAUCUAUAACCUCAAAAACUCAACAACAACAAAAUCUCAAAACCCGAAAAAAAAAAUUUCUCAGGCUCAUAUAUGUUUUUUUAGGCGCUUAAGGUAAAAAAUAAAAAUAAACAUCUAAGUUGAACUUCUUUCAUCAAAUGAAAUUAUUUGACACGGAGAUCGGUCAUUUUAGUAGCUUGAAUUGGUGUCAAUAAUAUUUUUUUCUCUCUAACGCUGAAAUCUAGGGAUCUCUCCCUCUCUCCUCUCUCAAAACUAAAAACUAAAAAAUAAUAAAAAUAAACUUUUUAUACUAAAUUUGAAUUGAAAAAAUAUUGAGGUACUGAACAUGUAUAAUUUGUAAAGUUUGAGGACUAAUUAAAACUUUUUGUAUGAACUUUUAGACCAUCACUCAUUUAUAAUGUCUUUUCUUAUUUGGUCCUUUGUCUUUUAAUUUUUUUCAUUGGUCAACAAAUUUGAUUUGAAUUGUCCUUGAAUUUGGCCCGAAAAUGAUGUAAUUCCACAAAAAAAGUUUGAUGAUCAAAUUAAAAAUGAAUAAAUAAUGGAUCUACAGUAAAAUGUGAGAGGAUGAAUAAUGCAUGUGCAUACAAUGUUUUGGCCAUAUCGUUUAUAUUUUUACUAGUUAUUUGAUUUGUACUUCUUUGUGGAUUGAAUAUCUUUUUUGGAAAAAAGAAAAAUAAAUAUGCAAUGCUUUUAAAUGCGUUUUUUCCGAUAAAAAUCAUAAUUAUAAAUCAAAAAGUCUAUGCAUACAUUUAAUUAAAUAAAUCGAGAACUAUUUGUGCCAAUAAAAAAAAUGUUAAUGGGUUUGCAUGACAAAUUAUUUGUGCCAAUAAAAAAAAUGUUAAUGGGUUUGCAUGACAAAUUAUUUUUCUAAUGCAAAUAAACUAAUAUAUAGAUGUUAUUAACAUGUUUUUUUGACAGGGAGUAAAAAACAUAAUCGUGAAUCAAAAAGUCAAUACUUGUAUAUAAUAAAAUAUAGUGAAAAUCAUAUGUUUUAAUAAAACAAAAUCUAUAAGAUCUCAAGUUUAUUUUCAAUGUAGUAGAAAAAUUGAACAAUGUUGAAAAACUAUAAAGAAAAAAAAACAAAUAAAAAUAAGAAAAAAAUAAUGAUAAAUAAGCUAAGUAUAAAAUGAUAAAAAUAUCAAAUAUAACGAGAAAAAAUAUAUAAAAAGCUUGUUUUCUAAAAAGAAACCCAUGAAAAUAUAGUGAAAAUCAUAUGUUUUAAUAAAACAAAAUCUAUAAGAUCUCAAGUUUAUUUUCAAUGUAGUAGAAAAAUUGAACAAUGUUGAAAAACUAUAAAGAAAAAAAAACAAAUAAAAAUAAGAAAAAAAUAAUGAUAAAUAAGCUAAGUAUAAAAUGAUAAAAAUAUCAAAUAUAACGAGAAAAAAUAUAUAAAAAAGCUUGUUUUCUAAAAAGAAACCCAUGAAAAUUAUAGAUUUACCACAACAGUAGUAAAACAAUUGAAGAAAAUUCCAAUAGUGACAUUUUUAUCAUGAAAAACCAUUUAUAAAAUAAAAUAAUUAAUAUUAAUAUUCUAAUCUUAGAUAGUCAAUUUCCUAUUGAUUUUAACUCAAGGUUCGUUGGAAUCCAGUUAGGUCAAUAGUCAGUAGGGAAGGUGAGUCGUCAAAUUAAAAUUGGUAAGCAUGUUGAAAAGGUCAUGAAAACAUAGGGUUUCUAUCUAGUAUGAAAUCAACCACCUGCAACUCACCGAAUAAUGAUCAAAAGCAAGUUUUGUAUGGUACGAUGAAAUGGGUUAUCACUUUCAGAUGUUGUGAUUUUCUAUGAACCAUUACAAAUUAUAAUUACUCCUUAUAUUUCUGGUGCUAUUAGCCUUUUAUAGGAUAAAAAAUAUAUGUAAUUGACUAUUAAAUAUUUUUAAAGAAUAUAUAUUUAUAAUACAUUAUUCUUCCAUAUAGCGCAGUCAUUAAAGAAUAAAGUAACAUGAUUUAGUUGCCCAAAUGUGGAUAAUACAUUAUUCUUCCAUAAGACAAAACGUAAAUCUAAAAUUAUUUUCCCAUGAUUAUUUUUAAAAAUAUUUUUAAAAAAUAAUACAUUAAUAUAUUUUUUUUAUUUUUUAAAAAUUAUUUUUUACAUCAAACACAAUCUAAAGACAUAUGAAAUUAAUGUUAAACAAAAAAAAUUAUAAUAUAAUUAAAAAUCAUUUGCAAACACUAUUAUUUGAGACCAAAAAGAAAUCAAAGAUCCUAAUUGGGACCAAAAGCCGGCUUCCUCAGUGGAGUACGAAGGAGAUAAAAGGAUAGUUGGGUUGGUUAUGAAGGUUGUUUAGCUUUCCAUCACCUAAAUUCAUUUGUUUUCUUGGCAGUUUCACAACCCGUCUACGCUUUCUUAGGGCGGUGGUUUACACAAAUCUAGCCCUCCUUGCUAUUUGCUAGCUAUAUGUUUUAGAAUUAAGGCUCUGAAAAAAAUAAUAUGAUUAAUUGAGUUUUAUUUAAAAGUAUUUUAAUAGUUGACUAUAAGAGAUUGAUAAACAAAUUAUAAGAGAUGUGGUUGUAAUACUCAUAUCCAUUAAUUGAAUAAUUGACAUUCCCAAAGGGGGGGGAAGGUUACUUGGACACAAAGACAAGGAAGCACCAACUUCUUGAUCGAAUGGUACCAUUUGUCUGAAUUAUUUUUUUCAUUUGUAUAUAAACUUUCUUGCUGGCUUGUUUAGUGUCGUGGUUAGCAGGGUCAAACAAGGCAAAGAACAAAAUUUCAAUGAUUUUGUAGUUUGUACAAAACCAAACCUUUUCUUGUACAAGUAUAUCACAGUUUUAAUUUUUAUUAAUUAAGAUUUUCAUCUAUUUAUAAUGUCAUAAGCAAGUGACUCGAUUGAUAUAUGUUGACAUUUAAGCCUUACAUAUUACAAGAAACUAGUGUACCUCUAGUAUGCCACAUCAUCAAUUAAACCAAGAAACACGUAUUGUAUUAAUAAAAAACUAGGAGAGGUGACAAAAUCAUUAUACACACAUUCACAAAUUACUGUGAUGUAAACUUAGUAGAUAUAAAAAUUUAUAAAUUCAUAUUUAAAUUGAUUUUUUUUAAGAAAACCUAAGAGUUGGGAAUUCAACUUUACACAACGAUAAUCUUUAUCAAAACAUAAAGACUAUAAGUAAUUGAACCAUCAUUUAAUACCUAUAAAAAACACAAAUAAAAAGUAUAGUAAACACCAUAAAACUUGGUUAAUUCUUGGAUAAGUCAUGGUAGUUCAAUGAAGAACCAAAAAGUAUGAACAAAUCCUCACACACAAUAUUAAUUGUUGAAAUAAAAGUUUGUAAAAAAAAAAAAAACUUAAGUAUAAUCUAAAUAACCAUAUUUAAAAUAGAUAAACAUCCUAAAUAAUUUUGAAAAAAUAGUAAAAGAGUUAUAAAUAAAAUAAAAAAAAUAAUUCUAAAUUAACUAGGAAACUAAUAUAAUUAUUGCACAAUAAUUUCUAGACCUUAUCGCAAGGCCUUUCCAAUGUCUGAUUUCCUAAAUAUUUAAUCCAAUACAAAACAAGAUCUCUGAAAACUUCUUGUAAACUUUCAAACUGAGUCAAUGAUAUGAUAAAAAAAAUAUGCUUGUUGUUGCACAUGUGCGACGUCGUGGCGAAAACAUCCACUCUCAUAUGUUUUUUGUAUUAUCUAAAAAUGUGGAAAAUAUAGGGAGACAAAGAAUUCUUCUCUUUUAUUAGUGGAAAAAUAGAAUAGGAGUCAUCACCUAGUAUUUUGGUCACUAGAAACCCUAAUUAGUCUUAGAGAUCAGGUACAGGGACUGGUUGCGUAAAGGAAAAGUUUUAGCACCCCAAAUACACCAUACCCAAGAUAGGCUGCAUUGUUUAAUUGUCUGAUAAAAUCUAAGGUCUUGUCGUGUUUUCUAGUUGUUAGUCCAUAUAUGGUUUAAAAUAUAAUUUUAAAAUAUUAACCUCAUUCUCGUGACUUUAAUAAACUGGUUAUUAAAGCCAAAAUGCAUGCUAAUAUAAAUUUUAAAUCUUUGUUUUAUGAAAAUAUGAUAUGAUUUUUUUUUUUGAAAGACUAGGCUAUAUGCAUAAAAACUCAUCUUUUCCAUUUUGUAAUGUUUUGACAAAAACCAGGAUAUCUUAAUGCUAGAUUUGCAUCUUUACGGUAUACAAACACAAAUCAAUAUUAAGAAAAAAUCAGUAGAAAAAUCAUAAUUUUUCCAACAUGUUUUUUUUUCUUUGAUUGGAUUGGACCCAACCCAAAAAAAAACUAGGCUGAAAUCAAUCCAAAAUAAAAAUGGAACCUAUUUUCUAUAGGGCUGGACUCAGCCGAACUAUGUGAGUUGGGCUGAUGAUCCAGCCCGCAGUAACUAUGGACUUGUUACUGUAUAUGAACGCAAUAGCCAUUUAAUUAUUUUCUUGCUCGCAGAACGUGUAUAGUGCACACGUUCUGCAUGCAAGAAGAUGACCUGUAAACGGAGAAAAGGGGAAGAAUUACCUGGAUGAUGAACUUGGAUUGAUGAGCUGACGGUGAUGUUAGUGACUGGUUAGGCGGUGGUUGUUGCUGUCGUGGUUGUGGGGGGCAGCUGCUGCGGCGUAAAAGACAUUCGUCCUCUAUUCUUUUUUUCCUUUAUUUUUUUUGUGUUUUUCCUUGUCUUUGCUUCUGCUCCUCUUUGAUUUUAUGUUGUUUUGGUGUCUCUGUCUUUGUUCUUCACGUCUUUGUUCCUCUGCUUUAAUUCAUUUGCUUCUUUCUCUUUCUUUUUCAGUUUCUCACUUCUCUCUUUUCUGUUCUCACCCCUCUGUUUCUCUUUCUGUUUCUCUCAAGUCUACACUCUCUUCUUUGCUUUCUCUCAAUUCAUCGUCCCCUCUUUCUUUUUCUCUAUUCUAUCUCCCUUCAAAAUUUCUGUCAACUUUCCCCUCUCUCUGUUUUCCUUUCCUUUCCCUUCUGUCCCCUCUCCUUUUUUUCCUUUUCUUUCCUCUGUCACCUUACACUCUCCCUCUCUGUCCCGUUUAUUUUUUUUCCUGUGUUUUUCCUCGCUGUCUCGUCCUCCCUCUUUUCUUUUUUUUCCCCUCUGGUGUAGCUAUGCUCGUGCAUUGGCUGGCACUGCUGCUCUUCGUUUCUUUUUUAUUCUCCCUGUCCAGUCUUCUUUUGCUGCUUUUAUAGGUCAGAGAAGGCUUUGUGCUGGUAACGGCUGGCUUGGUAACGGUUUGCAGAGGGAUGACAGCCGUGACACAUGCCCCAUAAUUGAAGAGAAUUGGCAAUGUUGCUUCAAGAAAACGUCUCUCGGCCUUUACUACUGAAACAGCUGGAAGAAGACAGUGAAUAGUGUUUCAAGGCAACGACACCGUUUUUAUAAUUUAAAAUGAUAUUUAUGAUUUGGUCCUUGGAUGUUUUUUACAAUUUUGUAAUCAAGCCCCCGGAUAAAUUAUAAUUCGAUCCCUUGAUUUUAUCGAUUUUUCCUGUUUGGUCCUCGGUUUCAAAUUGUUUCAAUUAAGUCCCUAAUUGACUAUCAAACUUUAAUAAUUAUGCAAUUAAGUCCCUGAUUUGACCAAAUCAACUCUUUAAAAUUACAAUUGGACCCCAGAACUUAAAUUUCUUCCAAUAAAAGCCUAAAUUGACUUAAAAAUUAAUUUUUCUUGCAAUCAAACCCUCUAUAAAUUCAAUUAAACCUUAGAUAAAAUUUAAUUGAGUCGAUAAACAUUUGAUUUUGAAUAUAUUUUUUUAAAAAUUAAAUUUUCUUUGUCAACGAUAAAUUGUUAAAUUUCAAUCUUUUGUAUUUUUGAACCUCUUCAACCAAUUUUUGGUUAUUUUUCGACAUUCUAGCAUCCUUUUCUCGCUCCUAUUAUUUUUUGGAUUUCUUCCGAAUUUUUUUAUUAUUAUUUAUAUAUAUAUAUAUAUAUAUUUGUAUUUUUUUUUAAUUUUUGUGUGGGAACCCAAAAAUAGGUAACAAAACUUGUUAAAGUAAAACCAUAUAGUAGAAAAAAUAAACUCAAAAUCGCUUUUAAUGCUUAACUUAAUUAGCCCACUAUUGCGAAAUAAUUAAGCUCAUAUUGUAGAUGAAUAAUACCCCUCUUGUUGAUAUAUUAGAUUGACUAAGAUCUUAUCAUCACUUGUUGAAAAUGUAGGCUUCUUAAAAUUCACCUUGAUCCAAAUACUUUGAAUAAGCCCAUUGAAUGAACCUUUAAGUUUCUUUGCCCAUAAUCUCGUAAUUGGCCUAGUUGAAACUUGCAAUAGAUAUUUUGAUGGAUCUUUUGGUGUGGUCUUGAUUGUAUUAUCCUCUAUCUCCUUAAAAGAAUUUAUCCAUGAAUCAUCACUUACAUCAAACAAUGAGAGAUCAAAAAUAUUGAAAGUAACACUAAUAUCAGGCUCGUCUGCAUUAUCAUUAAUUCUUUCAAGGAUUUGAAAUGGUCCAUCUCUUCUCAACAUCAACUUAGAUCUACUUUGUUUAGAAAAUCUCUCUUUUUGUAUAUGCAUCCAAACCCAAUUACUUGGUUAAAAAAUAGCUCUUUUGCCUCUUUUUAUUAGCUUUGAAUGCAUAUUGCUCAUUAUAUAUAUUCUGCCUCACAUUCUCAUAAAGAGCCUUUACUACCUGUUUUUUUUUAUUGCUAUCAAUACUAACACUUUCAUUAAUAGGUAAAGGAAAUAAACCCAAAAGGAGUCGAAUGAUUAAAGUUAUACAUAAUUUUAAAAGGAGAAUGAUUAGUAGUAAAAUAUACAUUCCUAUUAUAAACAAAUUCAAUAAAUGACAAGCAAUUUUUCUAAUUUUUCAAAAAAAUUUGAAUGAUAGUUCUUAAAAAUAUAGUUAAAGUUAUAUUAACUAUUUUAGUUUGACCAUCUAUUUAUGAAUGAUAAGUAGUAGAAAAUAAUAAUUUUUUUUUAAUUUACCCGCCCACAAAACCUUCCAAAAAUAGUUAUGAGAUAACAUCAUGAUCAUAUAUAAUGCUCCCAAGCACCCCAUAGAGCUAAACUAUUUUCCAAAAGAAUAAGUUUACUUUGUUAGUUACAUUAUCAGUUUUAUGACAUUAUAUAAAAUAUAUAAUUUUAAAAAACCUAUCUACAAUUACAAAAAUAGAAUCCCUACUCCUUUUUACUUAGACAAACCUAGCACAAAAUUCAUAUAUGUAUCAACCAAAGGUUUAUUAGACAAUAGUAAAGGAGUAUAUAAAUCAUAAGGUAAAAUUUUAGACGUAGUGUAUCUAUAUGUUUAUACAUCUAUCACAAAUUCCUUACACAUCUCUUUUCAUCUUAAACCAAUAAAAAUUCUCAUGCAAAAUAUCUAAAGUCUUAACAACCUCAAAGUGUCUCAUUAAUUCGUCCCCAUGAACUCCACAAAAUAGUAAUUCAUGCAUAGAAUAAUUAAACACACACAAUCUUUUAUCCGUCCCCAUGAACUCCACAAACUAGUAAUUCAUGCAUAGAAUAAUUAAACACACACAAUCUUUUUUCCACGUAAAAGGCAUACAUUUUCAAGUUAGCAUAUAAACAUUCUUUUUGCAAAACAACCAAUACAUUUCUUAAAUGUUUAACAUGCUCCUUUAUAUUAUUGCUAUAAAUCAAAACAUCAUAAAAAUAAACCACAAAAAAACUUACAUAUAAAAUUGCGCAAAACAUUGUUCAUUAAUCUUAUUUAAGUGCUAUUUUUUUCUUACUAAUAUUAAUAAUUGUACUCAUUAUACAUGAAAGCUUUGAUGCAUCACAAAUUUGACUCUUUUCAUUUUUCUCAUUGCCUUUUAUUAUAUGGUCAAAACUCAAUUUAAUCAUAUUAUUAAGCAAAUUAAAUGUAACAAUGGACAUGAAUUGACUUAACAAUAUGGAAUUUUUUUUUAAAAUAAUCAUGGCAUACUGCAUCAGUUAUCAUAUAUUUAUAUUUCACAAUAAAAUAAGAUUGUUGAAUGUACAUAUCAAUAUCUUUUAAAAAUAACUUGAUUUUUAUUUUUUAUUUGGUUUACCUAUAUGCAAUAAUUUUAUUUUUUUAAAUAAUCAUGGCAUACUGCAUCAAUUAUCAUAUAUUUAUACUCCACAAUAAAAUAAGAUUGUUGAAUGUAGACAUCAAUAUCUUUUAAAGAUAACAUGAUUUUUAUUUUUUAUCUGGUUUACCUAUAAAAUUUUAAAGAGAAUGUGCUCUUGUUAGGUUUUUGAAUAUCAUAUAUGCGACAGAAACUAUGAAACAAAAUUAUUUGGGGGUCCUUAGGAUCCUGUUAAAUAGUUUUAGAGUUUUUUAAAGGAUUUAUUACCUGAAAAUCUAAUCUUUAUUCAGCUUUGGAUAAUUCUUUAAAGAUCGAGUUGUCGCAAACUAUAAGCUGUCAGAAACUUGGUCGAAACUCAAAAAAUUUAAGAUUUGAUAUGGGUUGUGAUAAGGUUUGUCCAGCCCAUUUCAUGUGAUUUGUCUCUGGGUAAAUUUCAAUUUGACCCGAGGUUUCUGUUUAUAUACAUUGUCUCUUUUCUCAUUUUUUUUUAAUUUAUUUUAAUCAUCCCUAUAUCUUUUAUUUUUAUUCCAACCAGUCCUCAUAUGUUUUACUUUUAUUCCACUUUUCUCCCCUUACUCAAUUUCAUCCUUUAAAUCUAUGAAAUAUCUUAAUAUCAUCUAAGUAAAAAACAAAAAUGAGAGAGAGAAUUGGAAUUAGCAAAAAUAAAAAUAAAAAACUAAUAGAAAUUUUAUUAAACAGUAUGAUAAAACUUGAGAGAGAUAGUUUUUCAAGAAGUGCUUAAACCCUACCACCAACUUGAAUUCUCACUUAAUAACAUUAUUUUUUUUGUUUUAUCAAUACUAUAUUUAAAUAAAAAUCAAAAUUUAAAUUAACUUAACUAUCUCUUUUUUUUUUUCAUAAAAAAAAGGUUAUUCCAACCAAAAUGUCAAAAACCUAUCACUCAAAACUAUCAUUUUUCAUGUCUAGAAAAAUAACUAGCAUCUUGCCACCAACCCAACUCCUACCAAUUCAAUUUCAAUCAUAACAUAACAUGGCAUCUUUAAUCUAAAACUUGAGUUCAAACAACAAAACUAGAAUUCAUGAUCUAGAUGAACAUGGGGUGCAAGAUUUGUAUUGUGAUUGUGAUUUGGCCAUGAAACCUUCCUUCUUCUAAAAAUGACAUCUAUUACAAAGAAAUCUAGCCCACAUGGUUGUGAACGUUCCCCUCCCUAAGAAAGGACUCUCGAGGCUAAUAAUUUCUCUAAAACAAUACAAAGGAGAAGAAGAUAUAUAUAUAUAUAUAAGCAAUUACAUAAUCAAGAAACAAAAGUAAAUGAAUUAUGAAUUAUGUAUUAUACAACAACUUCCUUAAUCUUUGAUUGGAUUGACAGCUCCUUUUCCAGAUUCUAGCAGAUUGUCUCCAGCCUUGCAAGCGUACCUUUCACUCGGGUUUUUGGACUUCAUUAACCUGCGCUUUGGGUCACUCCUCAUGCCCAAGAACAUGGCAUGGUACUCUGGUUGGUAAGAUCAGCAAACUUGGUCAAACCAACUUUGUACCUAUGGUUUUGAGAGUUAUGUUCAUCAAUGAAUCUCAAAUUGUUCUUAAAGAUUUCAAACCUUUUUGCCUUCUCUCCUAGCCUGUUGUAUGCUUUACCAUGCUUUUGAAGCCAUCAUUUGUAUAUACUCAUUACCUUAUCAUCGCUUCUCUAGCUCAACUGAUCAUGGUUUAGGUGAUUGUUGUCAUGGUUAAAGAUUGACAUGUCCAAGGCAGAUGAUACAGUGAAUAAAAGGAAGAGAAGGGUUGAUAUGGCAAGUGACAUACUUGGUGUUGCUAAAGAAGAAUUAAUACUAGUUGGGGAGAGAAUAAUGGUGAAGGAAGAGAGUUUUUACGAAGAGGAGGGAGUUCUGCGAGUUUAUAAAGGCAAGGAAAUUAAUGAUCUUGAUCUUGAUCAUGAUAAUCCAAGUUUGGUCCUUAUUUCGAAAUGAAACCAUGUCUCGUAGAGAUAGGAGUAAGAUGACGCCUUAGGGCUGUUUCGUGGGUCAUUUUUUGUCACUAGAAAUACAAGACCAAACUGAGUCCUUCGAUUGGCAAUUACAAGUAGUGUUUGUUAGUUUUCUCUACCCUAAAAAUUAGUUAGAGAAAUUCAAGUUUAUUUUGUCAUCGCAAAUUAUGUUUUUUUUUAUUAUUAAUUUGAGUGUCCAAACCAGCUUGCACCACCUUAACUAAUAUUACAGGCCUUGAAGUUAACGACCAUGUAAGGUUCCAGUAUCCUUGAGAUUUAUAAGAUUUGAACUGAUGAUCUCUAGAAACCGAACUCAGCCCAAAAUUUUUGAACUAUAGACAUGGAAUCUUGACCAUUCCUUGGUAGUGUAGGUCAAGAUUAUGUUUCAUAUUGGACAACCAAUUUUAGAUUUGGCUAAAAUCUCCAAGGUUCAUGCCAGAUUUCACUCUUUUUGUAUCAAUCCAGACAAAAUGGGAGAAGUACAUCACAAUCAUCGUCAUCGUGCUUGCAAGAAAUGAAAAAAUUUAUUACAAUGAGGUUCAUUUUUACUGAAUCCAGCAGCUAAACAGACUCUAGAUUCCUAUUUAGAAGAUUAUGUAUGAAAUUUGACGCUUAUCAGAUACAAGAACCUGGUGUUUCUUGGCAGCAGAGGCAAGGAGACUGUGAUGACAUACCUUAUCCAUAGACUAUCAACAAAUCAACCCCAACAUAUAGAAAAGAAAAGGAAAAAAAUAAAAGAACCAAAACAAUGGUGGAUUCAAGAUCCGACGAACAUUUUCAACUGGCCUGGCUUUAAUGAAUUUCUUUUCAGAUGUACUUGCCACCCACCUGGUAAUUAAGAUCGUGUGCCUUUCGCUUUAUCAAUAAAAUAUCUUCAUCCUGAAGGCCAGCAGUGUCAAAUUCACAAGGCAGUAUCUCUGAUGUGUGCUCCAGCUACCAUUUCAGUUUUGUUCAGAAUGCCUUGCAGAAACCCGUGUCUCCACCAACACUGCUUCAUGCUUUCUCUUACUUCUUGAACCGCGUUUUGAUCUGGGUGAUCGAGUCUUUGAAGAACGCUUAGCAGUCUGUUCUUGGUUAAUUGAUAUCUUUUCAUUGGAAGGCAGUUCAGGAGGGGCAUCGGGCCAUGGUGUUCGCUUCGAUGGCACAGUAAUUUCCAAAGGUGGGUCAAUUAUCCACCUGUAAGCAGACAGCAGUAGAGUUAAGCUUCUAGGAAACUAACCCAGUUUCCGAAACUGGUAAGAGAAUACAAUAUGGGGUGAGAAACUAUUUAGCAUUCCCAAGAUUAUAUUCCAUGAUAAAAAAAAAAAGAAGAAAAAAACAAAGGAGCAAACUAGUGGGCACUAACUAAUACCUAGAUGCAGAAGCUUUAGCAACUGUUUGCUUGUGGAGAUUUUGAAAAAACUCAAAUGGUGGGGAUAACUAUAAGGCUACAAAUGAGCACCAAGAAAGGACUACUUAAAUUUUGAAAUCUCUUCAUCCAGUAGCCAAGCACCGUCAUCCUCGUGAAAUGAGCUGAGCUCAUGCAAACACACCAAUGGAUGGGAACAAGCUAGUAUUGAAUGAAAAGGAGCAUUCUUAUUUUAUCAAAACAAAUAAGACAGAUUGCAGCCGGUGGUACAAUAAUCAUCAAAAGUUUUCUAUUGACACGAGGGCAUAAGUGCUUGAGAACUUGGGUAUCAUCACAUAAAGAACUAUUAUCGAUGUUUUAUGUGGGGCUUCAAUUUGAUAUGAGCUGAGAAUAAGGCACCUGAUUCAGCCUUUAUAAUCAAUAUUUAAAGGAGUAAACAGUUGUCGAAGCAAGGUUAGUUAAGUUCCUUCUCUAGCUCAUGGAAAACCCUGUUAGGUUUGUCAAUACCUGAGUUUUGCACACAAAACAUGAGAUAAUAAGAAUUUUAGGAAAGAUAUUCAGCUAAACAACUACAAUUCUCUAGAAUUUUACAGCAAAUCAAAUGCUAGUUAGUUGUGAAGCAAGACUGAAAAUUUCAAAGAACAUGUCGCGCAGCAAAUCAUGACUUGAUAAGAAAAUUAGCAAAUAACUUAGUUAAACAACUACCAUUUCUUUAGGAUUUUACAGCAAAUUAAAUACUAGUUAGUUAUGAAGCAGCCACUGAAGAUUUCAAAGAAUAUGUUGAGAUGUUUGCUCUGCACCAAAGGAAGUGAUGUGUGUGUUGUUGCUGUUGCCAUUAUUGUUAAAAUUGUCUUUAUAAACAUAUUUACUAUAUGUAUAUACAGUCUAGUUACAAAGCUGGCCCCAAACUAAUGUAAUGAUAUCAAUUAUUCUUUCCAUAGGCAAUUUUUGCAAAAAAGGUACUGGUAGGAAUAUAGCUGAUUUCACAAUAUUGGUUGGGUGACAUAUUUACAAUUAGAUCCAUAUAAGUAAACAUGUAACGGGUAAGGUCAGUAAACCAGGUAUGUUGAGCUUGUUUGACAACUAGUAAAAUAAGGUUGACAACGAAGCAUAUACCUCCAAUUAAAUUGGGGACUAUAAAGGGCCAUGUCAGGAUGGCCUCAGCAAUGAAAUUGCAAUGCAAGGCCCAGAAUGGUAUCAGUAAGAGUCUAAGACCAUACUUAGUGACACCCAGCCAGGUAAACACACAUCACUAGGGCCGAAGUAUUUCAUUGGAAAACCUCUAAGUGAGCCCAGGUACCAACAAUCUCUUUCAGUAGCAAUAAAAGAUGAAUGUGAUCCAUUUCUUCAACAUUUAACAAAACAAUCAUUCUAAAGCCUAUACUUCAGACAUCUAGUUGUUCACAUUUUCCAGUAGCCUUGAGUCUAUAUUUUUUCACUAAAAGAUGAAUACUACUCCCUCCCUCUCACAAAGAGUGUCCUGUUUGACUUCACACACAUUUUAAGAAAACUCAAUAAACACAGUUCCAGCUCAUUUUUCCCACAACUGCCCAUUUAUUCUUUCAGUAAGAAAUGGUUAUAUUUGGAACUUUAAGGAGUAUACUAUGAAAAAAGUGAUUGGUUCUUUAACUAGAUAUGUAUUUUGGAAUAACUUAAAAUAGUAUGAUGGACACUCUUUGCCGGACAAAGAGAAUGAUGAAUCAACUACAUUGUGGAUGCACAGAAUUAACCAACUAGAAAAUACAAAAUCCGGACUAUAACAAUAGGGAGUUCAUGAAAUCAUGAAAUAAUUGCAAUAUCGUACUCUAAUGGAACAACGCAUCUAUAAGCAUUAAUUAGUUAAAUUAAACUUGAAUAGAAAUAAACCAACAAAUUGUAAUACCCUAACCCAAAUAUUUUUAGGCUAGAGUAUUUUAAGAACUAAAUUUACAUAUAAUUUUAUCUUGGACUUGGUAUAUAUUUAUAUAUAUAUAUAUAAAAGUAGGCCCGUAUAUUCCUAUAUUUACAUAAAAGAAAAGAUGGAAUCAUAGAGUUUAUUUACCCUAGUUUUACAAACUUUAUAGUCUAGAGAAAACAUAUCCUCAGAGUCACUUGUUCUUCUAUGGGUGCAAAGAAUAUUGAACCAGAUUGACCUUGAAUGAUUGAAGUUCCAUUUUAUUUUUCUUGAUUUCAAGGUAAGAAUAUGAAUCUCUUUUAUUUAUAAAGAUUUUGGAUUGAUUAAGGUUUUUUUUCUAUAUGAAAGGAGCAUAAAAUUAAGAAAUUUAAAUGGUAUUUGUAUGAAUGAUCAAAUAUAACAAAUAUGAUAGAUUUUAUGAUAUUGUAAAAUGGAUUUUCGGCCCAAAAACUAUAUUGAAUAGAUGCAAUUUUUUACCCAAAUUUUAUAGAUAGGAAAAGCUUAUUCUGUCUAGUUUCUAACCAUAAAUGGUGCAUUAAUCCGAUUUUUGUACAAAUAGUUAUGGUAAAAAUAGCAAAGGAAGUGCAGGUUGUCUGACAGCAACCUCGAGGAAUGAUUUUGGGGCUUAUUAUAAAUUCUAUUUAAAGGAAUUAUUUAGUGAAUUAUAUAUGGAUGGAAACAAUUGAGACUAGUUUACAAUCCAAAAGGCAAAUGAAAUUCUAGAUUUUCUAGGAGUUAUGGUCAAUUUGGCCGUGUGUAGUUGACAUUUUAUUAUAAUCAAGUGUUGGAGGGAUUUUAAUGGAUUAUAUGCUCGUGAAUAGGUUGUUAGAGUUGAGAUUUUGUACUUUGGUUGUUUAAGCAAUAGAGGUAAUUAAAUCUUCACACAAUAUAUUAUUUUUAAACAUAAUAAGUAUUUUUCUUAAAUGUGCAUUUCUCCUCUACUAUAUGCAUUACAUUCUUUAAAAAAAAGAUAAAGCACAUGCUAUGUUCAAAUUAAUUUUCUUAUAUGUGAUAUUUGUGAACGCAUGGUUUUGAAUUUUUGUAAGAGUGUUUUAUAAACUACAUCUAUGAAAGAAAGUGUUUUGGAAUGGAAUUGUAAAUGGCUUCAUAAUGAUUCUCAAAUGGCUAUGAAUGAAAUAAUGACCUCUAGUAAGAGGGGUAAUCGACACUAGAACUAGUUUUAAUGUUCCGCCAAUGGGUUAUAAUAAUUAGCAAUGACCCUUGCCCACGGGUUACAAUAGUGGUUAGUAAUAGUCGACUAAUGGCCUGAUCACAGGUAUAAUAUGGCGGUAGUAAUUUGAUCUGAGAGUAAAGUCAUGUUUAUGGAAUUGAAUGCCAAGUAAAAGCAUGUAUUGAUGACUUGUUUUAUGGCAUGUUUUAUGAACCAUGAACUAUUAACUUUUUUUUUUAAUUAUUUUAAGUUGUUGUUUCAUUAUUGUCAAUCAUGUGUGUGUGUAUGUUACUUUCUAAAUUGUUGUUAGCUUACCCCCUUCAUUUCCCUCUCUAGACAGGUAGAUGAUUAAAGUGAGGUGCUAGAGAGUUUUGAGCUAUGGAGUUUACAUUGCUAAUUUAAGUUGUUAGCUGAGCUGUAGGAUUUUUGUUUAAUGAUGGAUAUAUUUUAACUUCUUGUUAGACAUUCAUUGUUAAUAGUUUUAAAGACUUGUAAUAGGAUUUAUUUUUUAAAGUACUUUCUCUUUAGUAGGAUUUUAUCAUGUUUAAGACUUAAUAUUGUUCAGUGAUCAUUUUGAAAUGAAGAUAUUUAAGACUUUUUGGUUUAGCAUUUGUGGUUUUUGGUGAACCUUGUAAAAUUAGCCUUUGUAUUAUCUAGGGUGGAAUGCUAAAUGAUACAAGCAUGUCUAUGCUAAAUUUUAGGGGUGUGACACAAAUAGCAGCAUGCCUAAAAUGGCUCGUCAACAUUUUGGUUCAUCAACACAAUUGACACAAUACCGAGGAGAAUUUUUCAGCAAGGAGCCAUUCUACUUUUCUGUUUUCUUUUUUCCUGCUACACAAUGUCAUAUACUAGCACAGGUCAAAGAACCAAAAACAGCCUGCCUAAGAUGCAUAAGUUCAAGGCAUGUCAGCAGUUGUUGUGGGGGAUGAGUCCCAAAUCAUCAAUAUUUCAAAACAUCCCUGCCUACCUGAAGUAGUAGAAGGAUAUGUUCCAUUUAUAAUUAUGUUUCAAUACAAUGUCACGGGUUGGGUGGCAUAAAUUGGCAGACAAGUUACUUUACAGAAUUUCUUUAGGUUUCUCUUUCUUUUCUUCUUUAAUUUUUUUUUGGAAACUAUCCUUACUAGCUAUGACACUUGAGGUGUAACUUGUUGACUAGCUGUAGCCCAAAAUUACACAGGAGCAGCACAAUAGAAGUUCACACAAAAAUUCUAAUGUACGCCCUCCUAUGAUUUAACUUCCUGGACCUCACUGUCUACAAAUUUGUGAAAGUAGACACUGAACAAUUAAAAUGAAUAGACAAUGCUAAAGAUAACCGCAAACGUUUUCCAAUUGAUAUUAUCUAGUCAAGACAGGCAGCCCAUCGCAAUACUGAAAAAACCGGUAAUACAAAGAAUAAGAAAAACUCACCCUGGAGGGAAUUUGCUAUCAGCACGAGCCUCAACACGGAGCCACCAGAGCAAAACUUGUCGCCCACAGCUCCCAAGUGGCUCCACCAUGGAAGGAUCCUUCAGCAGAGCUAAAGGAUUCUCUAUAUUCUCAUCAACCAAAUCCAUAUCCUUAGCCCAUUCUGGUUUAUCUUCAGCUUCCUUCCAAAGAAGCCUCGAAUUCAACACAAACCCAGCCCACUCCAGCUUCCUAGGCAACACCGUAGCCCUAUCAUCAAUAUAUACCGCACUCUUCCCCUCAUACGGCAACGAAUUAAACGUAUGCCAACCAACCAAUUUGUUUGAAGCAUUACAAGCCGGACCCUGAACAGGCACUACUGGAUUACGCAAAUUUUCUUCCGCCUCCUUGUCAACCAUAGCAGCAGCAGUUAAUAACGUCUCAUCAGCACCACCUGAAUGAACAAGAAUCCCAACUGAAACCGCACCAAACCACUUCACAUUUUGUAUCUCGUCAAACAGCUCCAUACUGUGCAUGUUACUAUCAUCCGCAAACAUCACUAUUCCAUCCAUCUUCUCCUCUCUCACAACUCUGUUCCACAGCAACCAAAAUUUGUUGUGUGUGGUCCCGCACCAUGUGAUGGUGGGACCACCACAUUAAUUGGCAAGAGACUUUGUUGUCUCUUAAUUAAAAGCUGGAGCUGCCACUGUAGAGGCAGUAGCAAAAAUUAAAACAAGAGAGAAGAGAAAACCGAGAGAAAAAGAGAAGAAGAGGCAGCAGAGCAGUCCGUGCUCUUCCUUCGAUUCCCAGCUCGUUUACCGUUGGAUCGGGCUGAAAUUUUGACAGCAGCUUCUAGACGCGUUUCACUUCAUUCUGGACGGUUGGAUUGAAGAUUGGUGGCGUGGAAGCUGGCCGUUUUGACAGAAAACGGGGCUGUCAGUUUGUGAGUUUUUUCUCCAAUAAUUCUCUUAUAAUCUUGUUGUAAUCCGAGAAUAAGUUGUUCUUGAUGAUAUUAUGUUGUAUCCCUUAGUUGAAUCUGAGGAAGAACAGUUGUGAACCCAUUAUUGUUGAUAGUGGAAGUUUUUAGGUGGACUACGGUCCCGUGGUUUUUCCCGUAUCGGGUUUUCCACGUAAAAAUCUUGGUGUUGAUUUGUGUGAUUUUUGCAUUAUAUUUGGUCAUUGUGUUGAUUCUGUUUUUACUGCACAAAGAGGGAAAUAAUUGGGACUUGUGAAUUGUAUUCCGCUAAAUUGAGGUUCGGUUGUUCCUAGUUUUCCCAACAAGUGGUAUCAGAGCACUGGUUGUGUAGAUUGAAUUUUUGUGCAGUUAAAAUGGAGAAGGAAGAUUCGGGCAUGAUAAAGCUCACUUCCUCAAAUUAUUUUCUAUGGAAAACAAUGAUGGAGGAUCACUUAUAUUGCAAUGAUUUGGCUUUACCGAUUGAAUGUAAAGGAAUAAAGCCUGAUGAAAUGGAUGAUGCAAAAUGGAAUGGACUUAAUAGAAAGGCUACCGCUAAUGUUAGAAAAUGGGUAUCUUCUAAGUCCAUUAAUCACAUUUCUCAAGAACAUGACUGCUAUACAGUUUGGAAGAUGUUGGAAGAAACAUUUGCCAAGGAGAGUGCACAAAACAAGGUUUUUGUAAUUAGAGACCUUGUGAAUUUGAAGUAUAGAGAUGGUGAAGAUGCUUCGGUGCAUAUAAAUGUAUUCCAAGGGUUCUUGAAUCAGCUGUCAUUGAUGAAUCUUGAGUUAGCCGAUGAAAUGCAAGCAUUAAUCCUAUUGAGUUCAUUGCCGGAUAGUUGGGAGACUUUGGUGGUGUCACUUAGCAAUUCUACUCCGAAUGGAAAGAUCACUUUGAAAACAGUGAAGGAUUGUAUCCUCAACGAAGAGAAGAGGAGGAAAGGAAAAGCACUUCCGAGUCUCAUGCACUUGUUACAGAAAGUCGAGGGAGAAGUCCAAGCAGGUUCUCUCACAGCAAGCAAGAUAGAGAAUCCAGCAAUAGAAAAGGCAAAUGGAAGCCAAGAGGAAGAUCUCAGUCAAGGAAGGGUUUCAAGUGUUAUUAUUGUGACAAGCCUGGGCAUAUGCAAAAAGAUUGUAGAAAGUACAAAAGAGAUAAAAAGGGCAAAGAUGAAGACAAGAAUGAAGAGAAUGGUACAGCUGCAGUUGUAUUUGAUGGUGAUGUUGCCAUUGUUUGUGAUGAUGGUUGUGUUAAUCUUGCAUGUCAGGAUACCACCUGGGUUGCAGAUUCAGCAGCUUCUUACCAUGUAACACCUCGACGUGAUUUUUACACAUCCUACACUGCUGGUGACUUUGGUCAAGUUAGGAUGGGAAAUCAAGGGAUGGCUAGUGUUGUGGGCAUUGGAGACAUUUGGUUGGAAACCAAUACUGGGUGCAAGUUGCUACUCAAAGAUGUUAGGCAUGUGCCUGAUAUGCGCCUACAUUUGAUCUCUACAGGUACUCUUGAUGAAGAAGGCUAUUACAAUUUCUUUGGAGAUGGUAAAUGGAAACUCUCCAGAAAUUCCCUAAUUGUUGCUAAAGGGAAAAAGAUGGGUCUCUACAUGUCACAAGCCAAGGUGAUCAAAGGGGAGGUGAAUGCAAUUGAAGAUUGCUCUACUGAUUUAUGGCAUAAACGGCUUGGACAUUUGAGUGAGAAAGGCCUUGGCAUCCUUGCCAAGAAGAACUACCUUCCAUUAAAAGGUAUGAACUUGAACACAUGUACUCAUUGUUUAGUUGGUAAACAACAUAGAGUCGCAUUUCAAAGAUCACUUCACAUAGAAGAUCACAUGUUCUUGAUUUAGUUCAUACUGAUGUUUGCUCUAUGAUUGAUAAGUCUCUUGGAGGUGCAUUGUACUUUGUUAGUUUUAUUGAUGAUCACUCCAGGAAAAUUUGGGCCACUUGUUUGAAAUCCAAAGAUCAGUGCUUGAUGUCUUUAAGGAUUUCCAUGCCAGAGUUGAAAGAGAAACUGGUAGAAAGCUGAAAUGUAUUCGAGCUGACAAUGGUGGUGAAUACAGGGUCCUUUUGAGAAGUAUUGCAGGGAACAUGGUAUCAAAUUGGAGAAGACAGUUCCUAAGACUCCACAGCAGAAUGGAGUGGCUGAGAGAAUGAACAGAACCAUUGUUGAAAGAAUUAGAUGUAUGCUCUCUCAUGCAAAGCUGCCUAAGUCCUUUUGGGGUGAGGCAAUGAAGACUGCAGUUGCCAUGAUCAACCUUUCUCCAUCAGUUCCUCUUGAUUUUGAUGUUCCAAAUAGAGUUUGGAAAGGAAAGGAUGUCUCUUAUGCACACUUGAGAGUGUUUGGAUGCAGAGCAUUCGUACAUGUUCCAAGGGAUGAAAGGUCUAAGCUUGACAGCAAGACAAAACAGUGUAUUUUCUUGGGCUCUGAAGAUGAUGAGUUUGGCUAUAGGUUAUGGGAUCCAAAGGAGAAGAAAAUUGUGAGAAGCAGAGAUGUUAUCUUCUUUGAAGAUCAAACCAUUGAAGACUUUGAACAGAAGGAGAAAACAGAGUCUACUACUUUUAUCCAUCUAAUUCAAAUCCAAUACCUACUCCACAGUUACCUUUGAUGCCUGCUAAUCACGGGGGAUUUGCAAAAUGAUGAUAAUGGUGGUUAUCUUAAUGAGCCAUUAGUUGGUGAUCCUGAAUCAGCUAAUGAUGAUGUUGAUGUUAUUCCUGAACAGGUUAUGCAGGAAGCUCCAGAUGAGCCACAAUUGAGGAGGUCAACUAGACCUCGCCAACCUUCCACCAAAUACUCUCCUCAUGAGUAUGUGUUGGUUACUGAUGGGGGAGAGCCAGAAUGCUUUGAUGAAGCUAUGUCACAUGAGAAGAAAAGUGAGUGGUUGAAAGCAAUGCAAGAAGAGAUGAAAUCCUUGCAUGAAAACCAUACUUUUGAGUUAGUGAAGCUUCCUAAAGGUAAAAGAGCACUCAAGAACAAAUGGGUGUUCAGGCUGAAAAUUGAUGAACAUUGCUCACAGCCAAGGUACAAGGCAAGAUUGGUUGUGAAAGGUUUCGGUCAGAAGAAGGGUAUUGAUUUUGAAGAAAUCUUUUCACCAGUGGUCAAGAUGUCUUCAAUCCGAGUUGUGCUUGGGUUAGCUGCUAGUUUGAAUCUUGAAGUUGAACAGCUUGAUGUGAAAACUGCCUUUCUCCAUGGUGAUUUAGAUGAAGAGAUCUACAUGGAGCAGCCUGAAGGGUUUGAAGCAAAAGGUAAAGAGCAGUUAGUUUGCAGUUGAAAAAGAGCCUAUAUGGUUUAAAGCAAGCUCCAAGACAAUGGUACAAGAAGUUUGAUUCUUUCAUGGUGGAUCAUGGUUAUGACAGGACCACUUCUGAUCAUUGUGUAUUUAUGAAAAGGUUUCCAGAUGGAAACUUUAUUAUUCUCCUGUUGUAUGUGGAUGAUAUGUUGAUUGUUGGCCAUGAUGCUAAGAAGAUUCAGAUGUUAAAGGAAGAGUUAAGCAAGUCUUUUGCAAUGAAAGACUUAGGACCGGCAAAACAGAUUCUUGGCAUGAAGAUCACACGUGACAGGAAGAAGGAGAAACUUUGGCUAUCUCAGGAGAGAUAUGUUCAAAAGGUACUUGAGAGAUUCAACAUGAGCAACUCCAAACCGGUUUGUUCUCCACUUGCAAGCCACUUUAAACUAAGUUCUAAGCAGUGUCCUUCAAGUGAUGAAGAAAGAGAUGAGAUGAAAAAGGUUCCUUAUGCAUCCGCAGUUGGUAGCUUGAUGUAUGCCAUGGUUUGCACAAGGCCGGAUAUAGCUCAUGCAGUUGGUGUGGUUAGUCGGUUCCUCUCCGAUCCUGGUAAAGAACACUGGUCAGCAGUGAAAUGGAUACUCAGGUAUCUCAAAGGUACUUCUAGUUUCAGCCUAUGUUUUGGUAAUAAUAAACCUGUGUUGGAUGGAUACACAGAUGCAGAUAUGGCUGGUGAUGUUGAUUCUAGAAAGUCCACAUCAGGAUACUUGAUGAAGUUUGCAGGGGGAGCAGUCUCAUGGCAAUCAAGGUUGCAAAAAUGUGUUGCAUUAUCCACUACAGAAGCUGAAUAUAUUGCUCUUACUGAAGGGGGCAAAGAGUUGUUGUGGAUGAAGAAGUUCUUACAUGAACUUGGCCUAGUUCAAGAGAACUUUGUGUUGCACUGUGAUAGUCAAAGUGCAAUCCAUCUCAGUAAGCAUCCUACUUUUCACUCUCGAUCAAAGCACAUUGAGGUUAGAUAUCAAUGGAUUCGAGAUGCUAUGGAGAUGAAGUCAUUUGUUGUUGAGAAGAUCCAUACCGAUGACAACGUGUCAGACAUGAUGACCAAACCUCUACCGAGAGAGAAGUUUGAGUUUUGCAAAAGGGAAGCAGGCUUGUCAGAGCCUCCUAAAUUGAAGUUUACAUAUUGAUCGCCAGUAUGGCGAAUUCCUCACAUGGUGCGUGAGGGGGAGAUUUGUUGUGUGUGGUCCCGCACCAUGUGAUGGUGGGACCACCACAUUAAUUGGCAAGAGACUUGUUGUCUCUUAAUUAAAAGCUGGAGCUGCCACUGUAGAGGCAGUAGCAAAAAUUAAAACAAGAGAGAAGAGAAAACCGAGAGAAAAAGAGAAGAAGAGGCAGCAGAGCAGUCCGUGCUCUUCCUUCGAUUCCCAGCUCGUUUACCGUUGGAUCGGGCUGAAAUUUUGACAGCAGCUUCUAGACGCGUUUCUUCAUUCUGGACGGUUGGAUUGAAGAUUGGUGGCGUGGAAGCUGGCCGUUUUGACAGAAAACGGGGCUGUCAGUUUGUGAGUUUUUUCUCCAAUAAUUCUCUUAUAAUCUUGUUGUAAUCCGAGAAUAAGUUGUUCUUGAUGAUAUUAUGUUGUAUCCCUUAGUUGAAUCUGAGGAAGAACAGUUGUGAACCCAUUAUUGUUGAUAGUGGAAGUUUUUAGGUGGACUACGGUCCCGUGGUUUUUCCCGUAUCGGGUUUUCCACGUAAAAAUCUUGGUGUUGAUUUGUGUGAUUUUUGCAUUAUAUUUGGUCAUUGUGUUGAUUCUGUUUUUACUGCACAAAGAGGGAAAUAAUUGGGACUUGUGAAUUGUAUUCCGCUAAAUUGAGGUUCGGUUGUUCCUAGUUUUCCCAACAAAAUUUACAUUAAAAUAAAUAAAAUAGUAAAUCCAUUGUUCUUAAUCAGCAAUUCAGUUCACUUUAAAGUUGACUGCGAAAAAAAAAAAAAAAAAACUUAACCUCAAAGCGCGAAGCCGCAUUUUAGUCUCCAAUCUGUGCCUUCCUUCCCAAGAAUUCGGCAUUUUCUGAUUAAAUCCAAUAUGAAGAGUCUUAACGCCGGAUUUGGCAAUAAUCAAUGCUGUUUCAUUGGUGACCCCACCGGCCUCCACCACGAUCCAGACGACGUCGUAGGGGAGCAGCAUCAGAGAAUGCAUAACAGCAGUCAUAUGUAACGUCUGGAAAGUCCGCACGUAAGUAGGCGUGACUACGAUAAGACUCCUGGGACUCUUCACACCGAAUUGAUUACUCUGCUCUCUUUGAACUCUCUCUAUUAUCUGAUGCGCUUUUAUUACUUCACUCGGGUUCGGGUGCGGCCAUGGCCGGAUCCGGAUCCCGUGCCGCCCGACAACAACUCUCGAACUCACCGUUUUGUUAAUCACCGGAAGAUCAUUAGCACUAUUGGUUAAGGGAUUGGAAAUGUCGGAUGUUUUGCUGAGAGGGUGAAACGGUGUCGUUACAUAGAGAGUUGUGGUCGUGGAGGUAGAGAAGAGGAAGAAGAAAACGAGACGAGAGAAGCGAAAGCCGAGGACGAGGCUGAUGAGACAACAAAUGCCAAGUAAAAAGAGCCAGAAAAUAGCGGCUGGUGAUUUGAUUGUGUUGUCCGGUGAUGAAUCUAACGGCGCAGAUGAUCCUCUGAAACUGCCGCUUCGGCGGUUGUUGUAGCUCUGCUGUAGCAAGGAGAAUUUCAUUUUUCGUGGCUCUCUUUCUCUCUCUAAAGUGGUAGAGUUUAGCUUAGAGAGAGAAAGUUGAGGAUUUGUGAGAUGAGAAGGAAAGGAGAGGUGUUUGUUGAGUUUGUUUGAAGCUUGCUUAGGUGUGCUUCUAUUUUUAUUUUAUUUUUUUAGGAAGAAGACGAAGUAGAAGAGAGAUUUCUUU